AAAAACAUCGCCUCUUGUAAGUAAUAAGAGGUCCAGCCUGCCCAGUGACAAAGUUCAACGGCCGCGGUACCCUAACCGAGCGAAGGUAGCAUAAUCACUUGUUCUUUAAAUAAGGACUAGUAUCAAUGGCAUCACGAGGGUCGUACUGUCUCCUUUUUCCAAUCAGUGAAACUGAUCUUCCCGUGAAAAAGCGGGAAUACACAUAUAAGACGAGAAGACCCCAUGGAGCUUUAAACCUACAGCAACUUAACUACAAAAUUCUUCAAAACCCCUAAAGAAAUGCCUGUUGGUUUUAGGUUGGGGUGACCACGGAGUAAAGACUAACCUCCGCAACGCAUAAACCUAAAUUUUUAUUUAAGAGCCACAACUCUAAAAAAUAGUACACUAACGUACACUGAUCCGAUAAUCGAUUAAUGAACCAAGUUACCCUGGGGAUAACAGCGCAAUCUAUUUAAAGAGUUCAUAUCGACAAAUAGGCUUACGACCUCGAUGUUGGAUCAGGGUAUCCCAGUGGUGCAGCCGCUACUGACGGUUCGUUUGUUCAACGAUUAAAACCCUACGUGAUCUGA
RNAcentral lists this ribosomal RNA (569 nucleotides) under Kurixalus odontotarsus. RNAcentral's name for it is "partial 16S ribosomal RNA". It matches the Rfam family "Bacterial large subunit ribosomal RNA", at positions 1809 to 2608 of the family's 2925-position model. The record is from RNAcentral. Lineage: Eukaryota; Metazoa; Chordata; Amphibia; Anura; Rhacophoridae.